Molecule: small nuclear RNA, 290 nt
Filed under: Nannospalax galili (Upper Galilee mountains blind mole rat)
Lineage: Eukaryota; Metazoa; Chordata; Mammalia; Rodentia; Spalacidae
Description: 7SK RNA (ENSNGAG00000001789.1)
Rfam family: 7SK RNA
About the family: 7SK was discovered as an abundant small nuclear RNA in the mid-70s but a possible function has only recently been suggested. Two independent studies have found that 7SK RNA binds the CDK9/cyclin T complex (known as elongation factor P-TEFb). P-TEFb activates transcription by phosphorylating the C-terminal domain of RNA polymerase II.
Source: Rfam by way of RNAcentral
GGAUGUGAGAGCAAUGUUGCUAAUCUGCCAUUCUAUCCAACUCCAGGGUGAAUUCAGCUGAUCUGAUGCCUAGGUAGAUGUCCCCUGCCUCCCUCACCACUUCAUGUUCAUCUCUUCCACAACUGUGGGCUCCCUUCCCAAGAGGAUGACCUUCCCAAAUAGAGAACAUUCUAGAGGUCAAGCUGCCAUUCCCUGCUAGAACUCCCAAACAUGCUCAAGAAAGUAACAUGAUUAAACACCACAGUGUUACCCAUCAGGUUCUGGUUUGCUGGAUCUGGCAGCAGCUGUCA